GGUUGUGAGGGUUCCUGGCGUGCUGAUUUGUGAUUUAUGAUAAAAUCACAUUGCCAGGGAUUACCACACAACC
RNAcentral lists this microRNA precursor (73 nucleotides) under Gadus morhua (Atlantic cod). Its description in RNAcentral is "mir-23 microRNA precursor family". It matches the Rfam family "mir-23 microRNA precursor family". Lineage: Eukaryota; Metazoa; Chordata; Actinopteri; Gadiformes; Gadidae. The record is from Rfam by way of RNAcentral.